GAUCACAAAGCAUUACAGAGAGGAGUACAAGUACAGCUGGUUGCUGCGCAUACAGACUAAAGGCAGAAAUUCUAGUGAUCAGUCUAGAUCAGUACAAACUAUAAAAUGAAUGAGGAUAUUUAUGCUAAUGCAGAUAUAAUUGAAAUACAUACAAAAUGCACAUCCAGCCAAGGAGAACAGACUCCAAAGCGAACUCAACAUUCAGGAUCUGAUCCCACAGGGAGACGAUGCUACCGACUGGCUAUAGUGUUUCUUGGGAUAUUGUGUUUUCUCCUGCUGACGGCUGUCAUAGUGCAGUCUGCUUAUAAUAACAGACUCCUAGGGGAAGCUAAGAGGAACAAAGCUGAAAUGGCUCAGAUAUUUUCAUAUCUCACCUCCAAUUACAGUGAGAAUCUGCGGCUGCAAACCAGCUACAGCACCUGCACUGCAGAGAAAGAACAGCUACAAAGCAGUUACAGCACCUGCACUGCAGAGAAAGAACAGCUACAAAGCAGUUACAGCACCUGCACUGCAGAGAAAGAACAGCUACAAAGCAGUUACAGCACCUGU
This is a long non-coding RNA of Brienomyrus brachyistius, 549 nucleotides long. RefSeq lists it as uncharacterized. The transcript has 3 exons. NCBI's taxonomy places the organism in Eukaryota, Metazoa, Chordata, Actinopteri, Osteoglossiformes, Mormyridae. The record is from RefSeq and is a predicted model, not a curated record.